GAUCCUGGCUCAGGAUGAACGCUAGCUACAGGCUUAACACGUGCAAGUCGAGGGGCAGCAUCAUCAAAGCUUGCUUUGAUGGAUGGCGACCGGCGCACGGGUGAGUAACACGUAUCCAACCUGCCGACAACACUGGGAUAGCCUUUCGAAAGAAGAUUAAUACCGGAUGGCAUAAUUAUACCGCAUGGGAUAAUUAUUAAAGAAUUUCGGUUGUCGAUGGGGAUGCGUUCCAUUAGG
This 237-nucleotide ribosomal RNA is filed under the name uncultured bacterium. RNAcentral's name for it is "partial 16S ribosomal RNA". It matches the Rfam family "Bacterial small subunit ribosomal RNA", at positions 15 to 245 of the family's 1533-position model. The record is from RNAcentral.